RNAcentral lists this ribosomal RNA (2921 nucleotides) under Staphylococcus aureus VET0057R. RNAcentral describes it as "bacterial LSU rRNA". It matches the Rfam family "Bacterial large subunit ribosomal RNA". Lineage: Bacteria; Bacillati; Bacillota; Bacilli; Caryophanales; Staphylococcaceae. The record is from RNAcentral.
UUAAGUUAUUAAGGGCGCACGGUGGAUGCCUUGGCACUAGAAGCCGAUGAAGGACGUUACUAACGACGAUAUGCUUUGGGGAGCUGUAAGUAAGCUUUGAUCCAGAGAUUUCCGAAUGGGGAAACCCAGCAUGAGUUAUGUCAUGUUAUCGAUAUGUGAAUACAUAGCAUAUCAGAAGGCACACCCGGAGAACUGAAACAUCUUAGUACCCGGAGGAAGAGAAAGAAAAUUCGAUUCCCUUAGUAGCGGCGAGCGAAACGGGAAGAGCCCAAACCAACAAGCUUGCUUGUUGGGGUUGUAGGACACUCUAUACGGAGUUACAAAGGACGACAUUAGACGAAUCAUCUGGAAAGAUGAAUCAAAGAAGGUAAUAAUCCUGUAGUCGAAAAUGUUGUCUCUCUUGAGUGGAUCCUGAGUACGACGGAGCACGUGAAAUUCCGUCGGAAUCUGGGAGGACCAUCUCCUAAGGCUAAAUACUCUCUAGUGACCGAUAGUGAACCAGUACCGUGAGGGAAAGGUGAAAAGCACCCCGGAAGGGGAGUGAAAUAGAACCUGAAACCGUGUGCUUACAAGUAGUCAGAGCCCGUUAAUGGGUGAUGGCGUGCCUUUUGUAGAAUGAACCGGCGAGUUACGAUUUGAUGCAAGGUUAAGCAGUAAAUGUGGAGCCGUAGCGAAAGCGAGUCUGAAUAGGGCGUUUAGUAUUUGGUCGUAGACCCGAAACCAGGUGAUCUACCCUUGGUCAGGUUGAAGUUCAGGUAACACUGAAUGGAGGACCGAACCGACUUACGUUGAAAAGUGAGCGGAUGAACUGAGGGUAGCGGAGAAAUUCCAAUCGAACCUGGAGAUAGCUGGUUCUCUCCGAAAUAGCUUUAGGGCUAGCCUCAAGUGAUGAUUAUUGGAGGUAGAGCACUGUUUGGACGAGGGGCCCCUCUCGGGUUACCGAAUUCAGACAAACUCCGAAUGCCAAUUAAUUUAACUUGGGAGUCAGAACAUGGGUGAUAAGGUCCGUGUUCGAAAGGGAAACAGCCCAGACCACCAGCUAAGGUCCCAAAAUAUAUGUUAAGUGGAAAAGGAUGUGGCGUUGCCCAGACAACUAGGAUGUUGGCUUAGAAGCAGCCAUCAUUUAAAGAGUGCGUAAUAGCUCACUAGUCGAGUGACACUGCGCCGAAAAUGUACCGGGGCUAAACAUAUUACCGAAGCUGUGGAUUGUCCUUUGGACAAUGGUAGGAGAGCGUUCUAAGGGCGUUGAAGCAUGAUCGUAAGGACAUGUGGAGCGCUUAGAAGUGAGAAUGCCGGUGUGAGUAGCGAAAGACGGGUGAGAAUCCCGUCCACCGAUUGACUAAGGUUUCCAGAGGAAGGCUCGUCCGCUCUGGGUUAGUCGGGUCCUAAGCUGAGGCCGACAGGCGUAGGCGAUGGAUAACAGGUUGACAUUCCUGUACCACCUAUAAUCGUUUUAAUCGAUGGGGGGACGCAGUAGGAUAGGCGAAGCGUGCGAUUGGAUUGCACGUCUAAGCAGUAAGGCUGAGUAUUAGGCAAAUCCGGUACUCGUUAAGGCUGAGCUGUGAUGGGGAGAAGACAUUGUGUCUUCGAGUCGUUGAUUUCACACUGCCGAGAAAAGCCUCUAGAUAGAAAAUAGGUGCCCGUACCGCAAACCGACACAGGUAGUCAAGAUGAGAAUUCUAAGGUGAGCGAGCGAACUCUCGUUAAGGAACUCGGCAAAAUGACCCCGUAACUUCGGGAGAAGGGGUGCUCUUUAGGGUUAACGCCCAGAAGAGCCGCAGUGAAUAGGCCCAAGCGACUGUUUAUCAAAAACACAGGUCUCUGCUAAACCGUAAGGUGAUGUAUAGGGGCUGACGCCUGCCCGGUGCUGGAAGGUUAAGAGGAGUGGUUAGCUUCUGCGAAGCUACGAAUCGAAGCCCCAGUAAACGGCGGCCGUAACUAUAACGGUCCUAAGGUAGCGAAAUUCCUUGUCGGGUAAGUUCCGACCCGCACGAAAGGCGUAACGAUUUGGGCACUGUCUCAACGAGAGACUCGGUGAAAUCAUAGUACCUGUGAAGAUGCAGGUUACCCGCGACAGGACGGAAAGACCCCGUGGAGCUUUACUGUAGCCUGAUAUUGAAAUUCGGCACAGCUUGUACAGGAUAGGUAGGAGCCUUUGAAACGUGAGCGCUAGCUUACGUGGAGGCGCUGGUGGGAUACUACCCUAGCUGUGUUGGCUUUCUAACCCGCACCACUUAUCGUGGUGGGAGACAGUGUCAGGCGGGCAGUUUGACUGGGGCGGUCGCCUCCUAAAAGGUAACGGAGGCGCUCAAAGGUUCCCUCAGAAUGGUUGGAAAUCAUUCAUAGAGUGUAAAGGCAUAAGGGAGCUUGACUGCGAGACCUACAAGUCGAGCAGGGUCGAAAGACGGACUUAGUGAUCCGGUGGUUCCGCAUGGAAGGGCCAUCGCUCAACGGAUAAAAGCUACCCCGGGGAUAACAGGCUUAUCUCCCCCAAGAGUUCACAUCGACGGGGAGGUUUGGCACCUCGAUGUCGGCUCAUCGCAUCCUGGGGCUGUAGUCGGUCCCAAGGGUUGGGCUGUUCGCCCAUUAAAGCGGUACGCGAGCUGGGUUCAGAACGUCGUGAGACAGUUCGGUCCCUAUCCGUCGUGGGCGUAGGAAAUUUGAGAGGAGCUGUCCUUAGUACGAGAGGACCGGGAUGGACAUACCUCUGGUGUACCAGUUGUCGUGCCAACGGCAUAGCUGGGUAGCUAUGUGUGGACGGGAUAAGUGCUGAAAGCAUCUAAGCAUGAAGCCCCCCUCAAGAUGAGAUUUCCCAACUUCGGUUAUAAGAUCCCUCAAAGAUGAUGAGGUUAAUAGGUUCGAGGUGGAAGCAUGGUGACAUGUGGAGCUGACGAAUACUAAUCGAUCGAAGACUUAAUCAA